RNAcentral lists this long non-coding RNA (323 nucleotides) under Lathyrus oleraceus (garden pea). RNAcentral describes it as "Pisum sativum (pea) long non-coding RNA (PSAT_LNC033104)". The record is from RNAcentral. Lineage: Eukaryota; Viridiplantae; Streptophyta; Magnoliopsida; Fabales; Fabaceae.
UUUUUUUUCAAGUCUCUAAUUUUUGCCUGGAUUACCCUUGCGGGUCCUCCACCGAGACGCUCAUUUUUGCCUAAGCCGCCCUUUCGGGUUUUCAACUUAGCGAGCAAUUCUGUUUUUUAUUCAUUCUUUUUUUUUUGCAUAUACUUUUUUUUCUAGGCAAAGUAUCUCUUAACUGCAUCUGAAUUCACAGGACGAGUGAAAUCCUCCCCAUCCAUUGUUGUAAGCAUUAAAGCUCCGCCUGAAAAGGCUCUCUUAACAACAUAUGGACCCUCGUAGUUUGGAGUCCACUUGCCCCUGGAAUCGGGCGCGAAAGACAAAACUUU